RNAcentral lists this ribosomal RNA (930 nucleotides) under uncultured bacterium. Its description in RNAcentral is "bacterial SSU rRNA". It matches the Rfam family "Bacterial small subunit ribosomal RNA", at positions 8 to 916 of the family's 1533-position model. The record is from RNAcentral.
AGAGUUUGAUCCUGGCUCAGAACGAACGCUGGCGGCGUGCUUAACACAUGCAAGUCGAACGGAUCAAGGGGCUUGCUCCUUGGUUAGUGGCGCACGGGUGAGUAACGCGUGGAUAAUCUGCCCGAUGAUCUGGGAUAACAUUUCGAAAGGGGUGCUAAUACCGGAUAAGCCCACGAGGACUUCGGUUUUUGCGGGAAAAGAGGGGGACCUUCGGGCCUCUUGUCAUCAGAUGAGUCCGCGUACCAUUAGCUAGUUGGUGGGGUAAAGGCCUACCAAGGCGACGAUGGUUAGCUGGUCUGAGAGGAUGAUCAGCCACACUGGAACUGAGACACGGUCCAGACUCCUACGGGAGGCAGCAGUGGGGAAUUUUGCGCAAUGGGGGAAACCCUGACGCAGCAACGCCGCGUGAGUGAUGAAGGCCUUCGGGUCGUAAAGCUCUGUCUAGAGGAAAGAAGUGUGGGGCGGCUAAUAACCGUUUCACUUGACGGUACCUCUGAAGGAAGCACCGGCUAACUCCGUGCCAGCAGCCGCGGUAAUACGGAGGGUGCGAGCGUUGUUCGGAAUUAUUGGGCGUAAAGCGCGUGUAGGCGGUUUCUUAAGUCUGAUGUGAAAGCCCCGGGCCUAACCUGGGAAGUGCAUUGGAUACUGGGAGACUUGAGUACGGGAGAGGGUAGUGGAAUUCCUAGUGUAGGAGUGAAAUCCGUAGAUAUUAGGAGGAACACCGGUGGCGAAGGCGGCUGCCUGGACCGAUACUGACGCUGAGACGCGAAAGCGUGGGUAGCAAACAGGAUUAGAUACCCUGGUAGUCCACGCCGUAAACGAUGAGUACUAGGUGUUGCGGGUAUUGACCCCUGCAGUGCCGCAGCUAACGCAUUAAGUACUCCGCCUGGGAAGUACGGUCGCAAGACUAAAACUCAAAGGAAUUGAUGG